GUGAGGAAUAUUGCGCAAUGGAGGCAACUCUGACGCAGCCAUGCCGCGUGCAGGAAGAAGGCGCUACGCGUUGUAAACUGCUUUUAACCGGGAAGAAACCCCAGGACGUGUCCUGGGUUGACGGUACCGGAGGAAUAAGCACCGGCUAACUUCGUGCCAGUAGCCGCGGUAAUACGAAGGGUGCAAGCGUUAUCCGGAUUCAUUGGGUUUAAAGGGUGCGUAGGCGGAGCGUUAAGUCAGUGGUGAAAUCCUGCAGCUUAACUGUAGACUUGCCAUUGAUACUGGCGCUCUUGAGUGCGCUUGAAGUGGGCGGAAUGUGCCGUGUAGCGGUGAAAUGCUUAGAUAUGGCACAGAACACCAAUUGCGAAGGCAGCUCACUAAGGCGAUACUGACGCUGAGGCACGAAAGCGUGGGGAUCGAACAGGAUUAGAAACCCGGGUAGUCC
RNAcentral lists this ribosomal RNA (445 nucleotides) under uncultured bacterium. RNAcentral describes it as "partial 16S ribosomal RNA". It matches the Rfam family "Bacterial small subunit ribosomal RNA", at positions 354 to 796 of the family's 1533-position model. The record is from RNAcentral.